CCUACGGGAGGCAGCAGUGGGGAAUAUUGCGCAAUGGGCGAAAGCCUGACGCAGCAACGCCGCGUGCGGGGUGAAGGCCUUCGGGUUGUAAACCGCUUUCAGCAGGGAAGAAGCCGCAAGGUGACGGUACCUGCAGAAGGAGCACCGGCUAACUACGUGCCAGCAGCCGCGGUAAUACAUAGGGUGCAAGCGUUGUCCGGAAUUAUUGGGCGUAAAGAGCUCGUAGGUCGUUUGUUACGUCGGAUGUGAAAACCCGGAGCUUAACUCCGGGCCUGCAUUCGAUACGGGCAGACUUGAGUGUGGUAGGGGAGACUGGAAUUCCUGGUGUAGCGGUGAAAUGCGCAGAUAUCAGGAGGAACACCGAUGGCGAAGGCAGGUCUCUGGGCCACAACUGACGCUGGGGAGCGAAAGCGUGGGGAGCAAACAGGAUUAGAUACCCUGGUAGUCCACGCCGUAAACGGUGGGCGCUAGGUGUGGGGAACCUUCCACGUUCUCCGUGCCGCAGCUAACGCAUUAAGCGCCCCGCCUGGGGAGUACGGCCGCAAGGCUAAAACUCAAAGGAAUUGACGG
RNAcentral lists this ribosomal RNA (570 nucleotides) under uncultured Actinomycetes bacterium. RNAcentral's name for it is "bacterial SSU rRNA". It matches the Rfam family "Bacterial small subunit ribosomal RNA", at positions 338 to 916 of the family's 1533-position model. The record is from RNAcentral. Lineage: Bacteria; Bacillati; Actinomycetota; Actinomycetes.